Plectropomus leopardus (leopard coralgrouper) is the source of this 1011-nucleotide non-coding RNA. The record is from RefSeq and is a predicted model, not a curated record. NCBI's taxonomy places the organism in Eukaryota, Metazoa, Chordata, Actinopteri, Perciformes, Serranidae.
AAGAUGGGGCACAGAGGAGGUGGGCGUCUGGCUGGAACAGCUGAGUCUGGGGGAGUACAGGGACACCUUCAUCCGACACGACAUCCGAGGCUCGGAGCUGCUGCACCUGGAGAGGAGGGACCUGAAGGAUCUGGGGAUAUCGAAAGUGGGUCAUAUGAAGAGAAUUCUCCAGGGAACUAAGGACCUGGCCAAGGCCUCAAUGGUUGACCUCUAACCCGGUAGCAGACGCUGCCGGAGAGGGGAAACGAACGUCCCCCUCACAUCAGUGGAGGAAUUUGGGAGCACCGAAGGCAGAGAAGGAAAAGAGAAGGUAUUCAAGGAGAGCUGGAUUUGAUCCCUCUGCUUUGUGAUGUUGUUACCAAGAUACAUUAGUGUGUUCGUUUGUGCUUUGGUGCCAAAAUGAGGAGAGAAAAAAAGCGGAUAGAAAUGCAAAAGGAAGUCAUGGAUCUUCACAAAACAAAAAGCCAUUUCUGAGUUAAUAACCAUUCAUAGCACACAAUCAGGUAUGCAACUAACCUUACCUUUGACAGCUGACUUUGCGUUGUGAUAACAAACAAGUAGCAAAACCAGGACUUCCAUGAGUGUGGGAUUUCGUUUCAGUUCAGAUGGGUGGUGUGAUGUUUGCACACAGCUGCAGAUGCAUUAAAGCAACCUUCGGGUUCACGUAGCACUGCCGUUCGGUGGAGACAGAGGACCAACGUGUAACAUCACAGUCUCUAGGUGGCAGUCUGGAAGGUGUGGUGGGAUACUGUCGCAUGCUAUGCUUGCUCAACUUUAGAUCUGUUUAAUUGCAUGAUUAGUGUCUUGAUUUUUUUUGUGUGCAAAAUAACACUUGAACAAGUUUUACAUAAGUAUUACGAUGCCAUUUGUUACUACUGAAAGCAUCCUUUUUUUGGUCGAAAUCUUUCUUUUUUCUAGCUUUAAUUUAUUUUUGUUUGCAUGAUAAUGAUGUGUCAAAGAUUUGUGCCAUAUUUUCAGUCAUUUAGUGUAAAAUGUGCUUCAUUGGUAGAA